Molecule: ribosomal RNA, 459 nt
Filed under: uncultured bacterium
Lineage: Bacteria
Description: partial 16S ribosomal RNA
Rfam family: Bacterial small subunit ribosomal RNA
Source: RNAcentral
CCUACGGGAGGCUGCAGUGAGGAAUAUUGGUCAAUGGCCGCAGGGCUGAACCAGCCAAGUCGCGUGAGGGAUGACGGUCCUAUGGAUUGUAAACCUCUUUUGUCAGGGAGCAAAGGGCGCCACGUGUGGCGCUUUGCGUGUACCUGAAGAAAAAGCAUCGGCUAACUCCGUGCCAGCAGCCGCGGUAAUACGGAGGAUGCGAGCGUUAUCCGGAUUUAUUGGGUUUAAAGGGUGGGUAGGCGGAUUUUUAAGUCAGCGGUAAAAUGUUCGGGCUCAACCCGGGCCGGCCGUUGAAACUGGGAAUCUUGAGUAGACGAGAGGUGUGCGGAAUGCGUGGUGUAGCGGUGAAAUGCAUAGAUAUCACGAAGAACUCCGAUUGCGAAGGCAGCAUACCGGCGCCCGACUGACGCUGAGGCACGAAAGCGUGGGGAUCGAACAGGAUUAGAUACCCUAGUAGUC